Molecule: ribosomal RNA, 525 nt
Filed under: Eucnemidae sp. UPOL RK0122
Lineage: Eukaryota; Metazoa; Arthropoda; Insecta; Coleoptera; Eucnemidae
Description: partial 16S ribosomal RNA
Rfam family: Bacterial large subunit ribosomal RNA
Source: RNAcentral
CAUGUUCUUUAGUUUAUAUUUAAGGUUGGAUCUGCCCAGUGAUAGGUAAUUUAACGGCCGCAGUAUUUUGACUGUGCAAAGGUAGCGUGAUAAUUAGUCUUUUAAUUGAGGACUGGUAUGAAUGAUUUGACGAGAGAAGUUCUGUCUCAGGAAGAGUUUAAUUGAAUUUAACUUUUAAGUGAAAAGGCUUAAAUGAUUAAUGGAGGACGAUAAGACCCUAUAGAGUUUGAGGUUAUGAUUUUUUAUAUUUUUUAGUAAUUUUUUAUGUAAAUAUUUCAGUAGUCUUUAGUUGGGGUGAUAAGAAGAUUAACUAAACUCUUAUAUAACUAAACAAUGAUUUUUGUUUAAUUGAUCCAUUUAGUUUGAUUAAAAGAUUAAAUUACCUUAGGGAUAACAGCGUAAUUUCCUAUGAAGUUCUUAUUUAAAUGGAAGAUUGCGACCUCGAUGUUGGAUUAAAAUUUAAUUUAGGUGUAGAGGCUUAAGUUUUAAGUCUGUUCGACUUUUAAAAUUUUACAUGAUCUGAGU